CAUUCUUAUUUGUUUGGUAGGCAUGUAUUCACCAACUUUAUUUUUAGCCUGUUGUCCAUGUUUUUGUCUUUGUCCAGACUUGUGCACAUAUGCCAAAUAAUACAAUGGGAAGUUUGUGGUUUCCUGCGGUUAUCCUGGGGCUCUUAUACACUAUGGUUGUGCAGAUAACUGAAGAAGCGAUACAGAUGGGCAUGUUUCCUGAAGCUGCUGAUUACUCGUUCCAGAAUUGUCGGAAAGAAAUGCUGCAAAUGGUCACAAAAAGUGGAGCUUGCCUGAAGAAUCUAAAGAAUCAUCUUCAAGUUUCCUGAGUUCCAGUUUACUGAAUCUUAUGGCUUCCUUACUCAUGCUGUAUACUACAAACUGACUCUGUAGUAUACUCUGUAUGUUCACAAAAAUGCAAAGUAAAAGUUACUUGAAUGUUAUAUGCAUACAUUCAGUGUUCUUGACUUAUCAGGAAGAAUUUAUCACUACAAUAAAUUACUUUGUUUUUAUUUUCUUCAUUUUCUUUGUUCUCAUUUUAAUAAUCCUUAAGACCACCUAAACCUUAAAAAACCCUAAACUGUAGUGUUCCUUGAGAAUUCCCAAGCAUUACAAAAACGUCCAUACAUUCACUUUUACAUUUUCAUUACGUGUAUUGCAGCAGACACGCUCAAGGUAUGAUAUUACAUGAAGUACCUCAUACCACCAGAGGGCACCAUUGCGAUAGACCUAUAAUUUUUUUUUUUUUAAUGUAAUUUUUGUCAUUUCUGUCGUGUUGCAAAUUCAUAUUUAUAUUAAUGGGAUACGAUUAUACUAAAAUUAAAGGACAUUUCUGUUAAAUGUUUCUUUACUUGGUAUUGUGUUCUGUCAAUGCCUUCAGUUUUACAGUUAUCAGACCUGCACUCGAUCAGAAAAAAAGCUGUCAUUGGGGCAAAGUAUUUGUACUCCUCCCCCCCACCCAUCCCCCCAUUAAACAGAGCUGUUAUAGUGAUUCUUUACUCAGUUUUAUUUUUCUCCCAAGAUUCUUAUGCCAAGGACCCCCA
This is a long non-coding RNA of Cyprinus carpio (common carp), 1022 nucleotides long. RefSeq lists it as uncharacterized. The record is from RefSeq and is a predicted model, not a curated record. The transcript has 3 exons. NCBI's taxonomy places the organism in Eukaryota, Metazoa, Chordata, Actinopteri, Cypriniformes, Cyprinidae.